UUGAGAGUUUGAUCAUGGCUCAGAUUGAACGCUGGCGGCAGGCCUAACACAUGCAAGUCGAACGGUAACAGGAAGAAGCUUGCUUCUUCGCUGACGAGUGGCGGACGGGUGAGUAAUGUCUGGGAAACUGCCUGAUGGAGGGGGAUAACUACUGGAAACGGUAGCUAAUACCGCAUAACGUCGCAAGACCAAAGAGGGGGACCUUCGGGCCUCUUGCCAUCGGAUGUGCCCAGAUGGGAUUAGCUAGUAGGUGGGGUAACGGCUCACCUAGGCGACGAUCCCUAGCUGGUCUGAGAGGAUGACCAGCCACACUGGAACUGAGACACGGUCCAGACUCCUACGGGAGGCAGCAGUGGGGAAUAUUGCACAAUGGGCGCAAGCCUGAUGCAGCCAUGCCGCGUGUAUGAAGAAGGCCUUCGGGUUGUAAAGUACUUUCAGCGGGGAGGAAGGGAGUAAAGUUAAUACCUUUGCUCAUUGACGUUACCCGCAGAAGAAGC
This 497-nucleotide ribosomal RNA is filed under the name Escherichia coli. RNAcentral's name for it is "bacterial SSU rRNA". It matches the Rfam family "Bacterial small subunit ribosomal RNA", at positions 1 to 491 of the family's 1533-position model. The record is from RNAcentral. Lineage: Bacteria; Pseudomonadati; Pseudomonadota; Gammaproteobacteria; Enterobacterales; Enterobacteriaceae.